RNAcentral lists this ribosomal RNA (133 nucleotides) under Anniella pulchra. RNAcentral's name for it is "partial 16S ribosomal RNA". Lineage: Eukaryota; Metazoa; Chordata; Lepidosauria; Squamata; Anniellidae. The record is from RNAcentral.
UAUGCUAAAUCUUCUUCAGUACGAAAGGACCAAGAAGAUAGGACCCAUCUAAACAAGAAGUCCUUUCCCACCUAGUUGAUUAAAACUCAACCUAGACAAGAAAACAGCCCACUCUAACCCUAGAUUAGGGUUU